This 407-nucleotide RNase P RNA is filed under the name Anaerolineales bacterium. RNAcentral's name for it is "RNase P RNA component class A". It matches the Rfam family "Bacterial RNase P class A". From Rfam's summary of the family: Ribonuclease P (RNase P) is a ubiquitous endoribonuclease, found in archaea, bacteria and eukarya as well as chloroplasts and mitochondria. Its best characterised activity is the generation of mature 5'-ends of tRNAs by cleaving the 5'-leader elements of precursor-tRNAs. The record is from RNAcentral. Lineage: Bacteria; Bacillati; Chloroflexota; Anaerolineae; Anaerolineales.
CAGGUCAGCCUGGUGAUUGCGCCCUGUUCGCAGGGCGAGGAAAGUCCGCACUCCUUAAAGCACGAUGCCGGAUAACGUCCGGGGCGGAGAGAUCUGCCGGAUCGGGCCACAGAAACAUACCGCUCCUCCGGGAGUAAGGGUGAAAUGGUGGUGUAAGAGACCACCGGCGCGGACAGUAAUGUCCGCGGCCGGGCAACCCCCAUCGGGAGCAAGGCCAAACAGGGAUGAACUCCUUCGGGAGGGGAGGCUGCUCGUCUCCCUUGAAUUCCAGGUAGGCUGCACCGAGGAGUACCGAGAGGUGCUCCCCAGACAGAUAAUCACCUCAGUGAAAGAAAGGGAAGAAGCCCCCCGGGGUGUAAACCGGAACCUUCACCAGACAGAAUGCGGCUUAUCAGCUGGCCUGGGGA